GACGAGGGGUCCUAGCGUUGUUCGGAAUUAUUGGGCGUAAAGCGUGUGUAGGUGGCUAUCCAAGUCAGUUGUGAAAGCCCCGGGCUCAACCCGGGAAGUGCUUCUGAUACUGUUUAGCUUGAGUACUAGAGAGGAUAGUAGAAUUCCAGGUGUAGUGGUGAAAUACGUAGAUAUCUGGAGGAAUACCGGUGGCGAAGGCGGCUAUCUGGCUAAGUACUGACGCUGAGACACGAAAGCGUGGGGAGCAAACAGG
This 253-nucleotide ribosomal RNA is filed under the name uncultured bacterium. Its description in RNAcentral is "partial 16S ribosomal RNA". It matches the Rfam family "Bacterial small subunit ribosomal RNA", at positions 524 to 776 of the family's 1533-position model. The record is from RNAcentral.